CCCUGAGUACAGUGGCGUACGGGUGAGUAACACGUGGGGUAAUCUACCUCUUAGUGGGGGAUAUCUCUGGGAAACCGGAGUUAAUACCGCAUAAGUUCGAGAGAAGAAAGCAGCAAUGCGCUGGAAGAGGGGGUCGCGGCUGAUUAGCCAGUUGGCGGGGUAACGGCCCACCAAAGCGAAGAUCGGUAGCCGGCCUGAGAGGGCGCACGGCCACACUGGAACUGAAACACGGUCCAG
RNAcentral lists this ribosomal RNA (237 nucleotides) under uncultured bacterium. Its description in RNAcentral is "partial 16S ribosomal RNA". It matches the Rfam family "Bacterial small subunit ribosomal RNA", at positions 84 to 334 of the family's 1533-position model. The record is from RNAcentral.